Molecule: ribosomal RNA, 427 nt
Filed under: uncultured bacterium
Lineage: Bacteria
Description: partial 16S ribosomal RNA
Rfam family: Bacterial small subunit ribosomal RNA
Source: RNAcentral
UGGGGAAUAUUGGACAAUGGGCGAAAGCCUGAUCCAGCCAUGCCGCGUGUGUGAAGAAGGUCUUCGGAUUGUAAAGCACUUUAAGUUGGGAGGAAGGGCAUUAACCUAAUACGUUAGUGUUUUGACGUUACCGACAGAAUAAGCACCGGCUAACUCUGUGCCAGCAGCCGCGGUAAUGCAGAGGGUGCAAGCGUUAAUCGGAAUUACUGGGCGUAAAGCGCGCGUAGGUGGUUUGUUAAGUUGGAUGUGAAAUCCCCGGGCUCAACCUGGGAACUGCAUUCAAAACUGACUGACUAGAGUAUGGUAGAGGGUGGUGGAAUUUCCUGUGUAGCGGUGAAAUGCGUAGAUAUAGGAAGGAACACCAGUGGCGAAGGCGACCACCUGGACUAAUACUGACACUGAGGUGCGAAAGCGUGGGGAGCAAACA